RNAcentral lists this ribosomal RNA (200 nucleotides) under uncultured bacterium. RNAcentral's name for it is "partial 16S ribosomal RNA". It matches the Rfam family "Bacterial small subunit ribosomal RNA", at positions 524 to 723 of the family's 1533-position model. The record is from RNAcentral.
UACGGAGGGGGCGAGCGUUGUUCGGAUUUACUGGGCGUAAAGGGUUCGUAGGCGGUUUUGUAAGUUAGAUGUGAAAGCCCGGGGCUCAACCCCGGAACUGCAUUUAAAACUGCAAGACUAGAAUCACGGAGAGGAUAGCGGAAUUUCCAGUGUAGAGGUGAAAUUCGUAGAUAUUGGAAGGAACACCAGAGGCGAAGGCG